CUCAAACCAAGGCUAAUUAUCUGCUAAUUAUCUAUAGGCUAUGAUUUAACUUGUCAAUUUCAAAAGAUUUUUUUAGCAAGUUGUAUUUUCUAACAACAGUUUGAAUUGUGGUGUGUUCCGCUUCCUUACUAAUUCACAUAUAAGUAGCCCAUUUCGCUGUUGCUGACAAUUUACAUUUGAGCAUAGUGAGCAGGACAAAAUUCUCUCUACGACAAGAGCCCAAGGACAAACUUUUUCCUCCCUGGCACAUGCAACGCCUUCACAACUAAUAAUAACUUUGUACAUGUGUGUUCCUAUCAAAUUCCCCAGAGACUUCCAGGGCUGGCUGUUCUUAGGAGGGAACUAUUUGGUUAGAGAGCAGAGGCAAGUCUUAUACAUUCACGUGUGUGCUUUCACAUUCUAAUUAGCCCAUUCUAAUGAACAUACAUGUGUUAUCUUACAAAGUGUUUCCUCACGAGUGUACCAUCUUAGUGUUUCAUCAACCGUCUGCUAUCAUAUUAGAUGCACUAUUGUAAAGUGGUUGUUCCACUGGAUAUCAUAAGGUGAAUGCACCAAUUUGUAAGUCGCUCUGGAUAAGAGCGUC
This 583-nucleotide long non-coding RNA is filed under the name Salmo salar (Atlantic salmon). RNAcentral's name for it is "lncRNA (ENSSSAG00000114770.1, ENSSSAG00000121434.1)". The record is from RNAcentral. Lineage: Eukaryota; Metazoa; Chordata; Actinopteri; Salmoniformes; Salmonidae.